AGUGAACGCUGGCGGUAGGCCUAACACAUGCAAGUCGAACGGCAGCACAGGAGAGCUUGCUCUCUGGGUGGCGAGUGGCGGACGGGUGAGGAAUACAUCGGAAUCUACUUUUUCGUGGGGGAUAACGUAGGGAAACUUACGCUAAUACCGCAUACGACCUACGGGUGAAAGCAGGGGAUCUUCGGACCUUGCGCGAUUGAAUGAGCCGAUGUCGGAUUAGCUAGUUGGCGGGGUAAAGGCCCACCAAGGCGACGAUCCGUAGCUGGUCUGAGAGGAUGAUCAGCCACACUGGAACUGAGACACGGGCCAGACGCCUACGGGAGGCAGCAGUGGGGAAGAUUGGACAAUGGGCGCAAGCCUGAUCCAGCCAUACCGCGUGGGUGAAGAAGGCCUUCGGGUUGUAAAGCCCUUUUGUUGGGAAAGAAAUCCAGCUGGUUAAUACCCGGUUGGGAUGACGGUACCCAAAGAAUAAGCACCGGCUAACUUCGUGCCAGCCGCCGCCGCAG
Molecule: ribosomal RNA, 506 nt
Filed under: uncultured bacterium
Lineage: Bacteria
Description: partial 16S ribosomal RNA
Rfam family: Bacterial small subunit ribosomal RNA
Source: RNAcentral